UACGUAGGUGGCAAGCGUUGUCCGGAAUUAUUGGGCGUAAAGCGCGCGCAGGUGGUUUCUUAAGUCUGAUGUGAAAGCCCACGGCUCAACCGUGGAGGGUCAUUGGAAACUGGGGAACUUGAGUGCAGAAGAGGAAAGUGGAAUUCCACGUGUAGCGGUGAAAUGCGUAGAGAUGUGGAGGAACACCAGUGGCGAAGGCGACUCUUUGGCCUGUAACUGACGCUGAGGCGCGAAAGCGUGGGGAGCAAACAGG
This 253-nucleotide ribosomal RNA is filed under the name uncultured bacterium. Its description in RNAcentral is "partial 16S ribosomal RNA". It matches the Rfam family "Bacterial small subunit ribosomal RNA", at positions 524 to 776 of the family's 1533-position model. The record is from RNAcentral.